UGUGCAGGGCCGGCAAUGCCGCCUCAGGACCAGCGCAGCAACGAUAGCAUAGUAACAUCGCAAGCACCGCUGAUUGGGAAGCAGCUGUGCUUACAAGCAGGAUGAUCACAUGUGGGCAUCUGCAGUGCCUACGAAGAUGCCUACCCGAGCUACGAGCUACCCGAGCUACGAGCUGCCCAAGCUACGGAAACCGAGAUGGCAGAAGGUGCAAAAUAAACACUAACUGAC
Long non-coding RNA from Pollicipes pollicipes, 228 nucleotides. RefSeq lists it as uncharacterized. NCBI's taxonomy places the organism in Eukaryota, Metazoa, Arthropoda, Thecostraca, Pollicipedomorpha, Pollicipedidae. The record is from RefSeq and is a predicted model, not a curated record. The transcript has 2 exons.